This 376-nucleotide ribosomal RNA is filed under the name uncultured bacterium. RNAcentral's name for it is "bacterial SSU rRNA". It matches the Rfam family "Bacterial small subunit ribosomal RNA", at positions 102 to 507 of the family's 1533-position model. The record is from RNAcentral.
ACGGGUGAGUAACACGUUGGAACCUGCCCCAAAGUGAGGAAUAAGCCACCGAAAGGUGGUCUAAUACUUCAUAAUAUCCAUCUCGUAUGGAUUAAAGCUUUAUGCGCUUUGGAGGGGCCUGCGUAACAUUAGCUUGUUGGUGAGGUAAAAGCUCACCAAGGCUUCGAUGUUUAACUGGUUUGAGAGGAUGACCAGUCACACUGGGACUGAGAUACGGCUCAGACUCCUACGGGAGGCAGCAGUAAGGAAUCUUCCACAAUGGGGCAACCCUGAUGGAGCAAUACCGCGUGCAGGAUGAAGCGUUUCGGCGUGUAAACUGCUUUUAUCACCGAAGAUUAUGACUGUAGGUGAAGAAUAAGGACCGGCUAACUACGUG